Molecule: ribosomal RNA, 513 nt
Filed under: Arcyria affinis
Lineage: Eukaryota; Evosea; Eumycetozoa; Trichiida; Trichiidae
Description: SSU rRNA
Rfam family: Eukaryotic small subunit ribosomal RNA
Source: RNAcentral
UUGUCCCAAAGAUUAAGCCCAUGCCAUGCGAAGACAAUUCGACGAGACUCUCACAAAAUCUGCGAACGGCUCCGUAUAUCUGUUAAAACCCGUUGCCCGUUGGAAAGGUUGGUAAGCGGAUAUCGCUCGGCAAUUCUGUCAGUAAUACGUGUACGUGCAUCGUGUCCAACAUUCAGCUUGACCGUGGCCCGCUGGCCCGCUGUAGCAGGAUGGACGGACUCCGGAACGCCCAGCUCUACCAAGAGUUAGGAAACCGCCGAGAAGCGAACCAAGCCCUAUGGGAACCUGGAGGCAACGGUUUUCAGACCUAUCAACUUGAAGCCUGUGGAGAGGACAGGCCUGGUUUUAACGGGUACAGAGGAUCAGGGUUCGGUCCUGGAGAGGUAGCAUGAGAGAUCGCUAAUACUUCUAAGGAAGGCAGCAGGCGCGCAACGUUCCCAAUGGGGGCAUAGGCCCCCUGAGGACGUGACGGGACAUACCAAUGCUCCGCCCGAAGGGCUGGGGUAAUCGGAA